RNAcentral lists this ribosomal RNA (400 nucleotides) under uncultured Pseudoalteromonas sp. Its description in RNAcentral is "bacterial SSU rRNA". It matches the Rfam family "Bacterial small subunit ribosomal RNA", at positions 498 to 897 of the family's 1533-position model. The record is from RNAcentral. Lineage: Bacteria; Pseudomonadati; Pseudomonadota; Gammaproteobacteria; Alteromonadales; Pseudoalteromonadaceae.
UAACUCCGUGCCAGCAGCCGCGGUAAUACGGAGGGUGCGAGCGUUAAUCGGAAUUACUGGGCGUAAAGCGCAUGCAGGUGGUUCAUUAAGUCAGAUGUGAAAGCCCGGGGCUCAACCUCGGAACUGCAUUUGAAGCUGGUGAACUAGAGUGCUGUAGAGGGGGGUAGAAUUUCAGGUGUAGCGGUGAAAUGCGUAGAGAUCUGAAGGAAUACCAGUGGCGAAGGCGGCCCCCUGGACAGACACGGACAUUCAGAUGAGAAAGCGUGGGGAGCAAACAGGAUUAGAUACCCUGGUAGUCCACGCCGUAAACGAUGUCUACUUGGAGGUGGUGGCCUUGAGCCGUGGCUUUCGGAGGUAACGGGUUAAGUAGACCGCCUGGGGAGUACGGCCGCAAGGUUAA